AAAAAAUCCGCUUUUAUUUUUUUAAAAAAAAGAACAUAACCAAUUUUCUUCCCCCCUUUUCCUUUUCCUUUCAUUAUUAAACUUGCACUCACACAUAACCCACAUGAAUCCCUUCCAAUGCGACUCCUUUCAUCCUUCCACGCGAAACCCACAACCUGACCAAGCAUCUUGCUAACACCUUCUGACCCCCCUCCUUGUCCACUUCCAGCAAUCGAUGGUCUCAAAUGCGCUCUUUGCGGAGAGAGAAGAUCGAAGACUCACUGAGUUCAGAGUAGGUUUUGGAGGCAACGACAAUGCUUUACCAGAAACGUCCACUCGAUUAUCCUUUGUCGUUUGAUCACUCUACUUUGCUCCGGCAGCUGACCUCCGGUAAGAAGAAUCGGAACGCCUUGUCGUGGAGUUUGAGUUCUCGAGCUCGCUCUCUCACUGACCCUUUCCUUCAACCUCAGCAGCUUGUUAAUCAGGUUGAUUGAGUUUUGAAUUUGAUUCUGUGACUGUGAUUGGUAUGGAUGAUCGAGGAUUCGAUGUUUGAUUGUUGACGGAUGAGUGUUGAAUGAAAUUUUUGUGUUGUGCAUUGUGAAAUUGUGUUAUGGACUAUUCGGGUUUGGGUCUUUCGAAAGGAUUGCAUGGUUAAAUUCCUGACAUUGAUCAACUAGUUGAGGAUGUUAUAAAACAAUACAAGAAGUUUAAAGGUUUGUUGGUGGGUUGAUACUAACUGUGUAUGCGGAUAAUUACUCUUACCAUCAUUUCUGAAUCCUUUUUUAUUACCGGAUCUUUUAUUUCAACUCGCAGGUAGACUAGAAUUGAAAGGAUUGCCUCAUUUCAUAUUCGGACAGUCCAUGGGGGAAGCUAUUACUUUGAUAAUGUACUUGAAAGAACCAAAGCUAUGGGAUGGAGUGGUUCUUGUGGCUCUCAUGUGUAAAAGUGCAGACGAUGUGAAACCGCCAAAACCAGUUGUUAAGGUCUUAAAUCUAAUGUCUAAUGUUGUGCCAAAAGCCAAGCAUCUCCCAAAGGUCGAUCUUGGUGAACUAGCUCUCAGAGAAAUGAAGAAAAGGAAACUGAAGCUUGAGACGGCAUUGAACCUAUUUGAUCAACUUGUUUAUAAACUUUGUACGGCAUUGAACCAGUGUCAAAGAAGGAUCAGAAUUACGAAGCCACAAGACUACAGUUUGAAAAUCUUGUUUUGAGAUAUGGGAAUCCAAUAAUUAUAUUGAAUUUGAUUAAGGUUCAAGUUUGACGUGUAAGGCUAAAUUUUGAUUCUUGGGGAUUUGGAAGGAAGAUAGGAAGAUUGCAUUUGACAUGUUUUAAGAAGGUUGACAAGUGGAGAAAGUGCACCCAACACAAAAAUGACUUCAUAACGAUAUUAAUAACAAGUACAAGGAAGCGAUUUGGAUCAAAUCUGUGGUAGAUGGUGGAGAGAACAUAAUGAAGGAGCAAUUGAAUGACUACUUGGAAAACAUUAUAUAAUGGCAACAAGUGUGUGUGCACUUUUUUACGCUUAUGAGUUUUGGUAAUUUGUUGAUUACCUUGGUUUUAGAGUUAAAUUAUCAUCCAAUUCCUCUUUUAUGACUUAUUAUUAUGAAUUUGUGAAUGCA
This is a long non-coding RNA of Benincasa hispida (wax gourd), 1595 nucleotides long. RefSeq lists it as uncharacterized. The record is from RefSeq and is a predicted model, not a curated record. Lineage: Eukaryota; Viridiplantae; Streptophyta; Magnoliopsida; Cucurbitales; Cucurbitaceae.